CUAGGCUCGGCGCCCUUGGCGAGGGGGGCGGGGAGAGCCGAGAAGCCACACAAAGGUUCCACCGAGGCUCGAGACCUGGUAGCCUUCGGGGUGAAGCCAGGGGAUUACAGUGCGGAGUGGAUUUCGGGAGCGAAACUCCGGAGGUUCUGCUGGGUUUGAGAUCUGCCUUUCGGGGCCGGGGCCAAGUACUAAAGUUCUAACCCUGUCGCUUGGCUAUUUCCGUGCCCCUUGACUUCCCUGAGCUUAAGCUCGAGAACUCUGCAGACGCUGCAAGUGUCUGUUCUUUCCUAGGCAUGGCAGCGGCUGUCCUUAGUUGGCUGUAUCUGAGACACUCUGACAACCUAGUGCCCUGGCCUGGGGCCCUUAGGCGAGAUUUUAGCGCAGUUGGUACCCUGUGUUCACGGGAAGUCGUGGGCGGCCUAAUGCUGGCUUGGGUUCUGAGUAGUUCUUGAUACCAUGGUGGGAAUGCCCUGUGGUACUCAGUCUAGUGGUGGAAGGCGGCGCAAAGUUAAAAGUAGCCUUGGGUCAGUUCUGCUGGAGUGCCGCUUCCUCCUAACCUCCAAGCAGUUUGGCCCUGGGGUCGCUUCGUUGGUCUGACUUAUUUUUAGAGCUCUGUCCUGGGGCAGGGCUUGGCUACUGGCGAGGCUGCUCCCACCUGUCGGCUACCCUUGGAGUUCACAAUUCGCUGCUGUGGUUUCGCGGCUCGAAGCCAUCGCUGGAGUCAGGCCCACCUGCUGCCAGAGCUCGUUCCUGGCCGUUUCCGCUGGAUUGCAGAGGGAGGACAGUGUUGGACCUAGGCGUGGGUUCCCUGGGCGUGUCCCUUGGGGUCUUAGCUCUCUGGGAGGAGGGUUCUACUUAUUCGGGAGAGCGGUAACAACGUAAUCCCGUCACCUCUCCUGGCGCUGAGAGAGCGCCCCCCAAAGUAAGAUCAGCGUCAGGCCCACGCCCUAUUUGGUGAAUAAAUAAAAGCAAACUAGGAAUUGAAA
Molecule: small RNA, 986 nt
Filed under: Pan troglodytes (chimpanzee)
Lineage: Eukaryota; Metazoa; Chordata; Mammalia; Primates; Hominidae
Description: sense intronic
Source: RNAcentral